GACGAACGCUGGCGGCGUGCUUAACACAUGCAAGUCGAACGCUGAAGCUUGGUGCUUGCACUGGGUGGAUGAGUGGCGAACGGGUGAGUAAUACGUGAGUAACCUGCCCUUGACUCUGGGAUAAGCCUGGGAAACUGGGUCUAAUACUGGAUAUGACAUGCCACUGCAUGGUGGUGUGUGGAAAGGGUUUUACUGGUUUUGGAUGGGCUCACGGCCUAUCAGCUUGUUGGUGGGGUAAUGGCCUACCAAGGCGAUGACGGGUAGCCGGCCUGAGAGGGUGACCGGCCACACUGGGACUGAGACACGGCCCAGACUCCUACGGGAGGCAGCAGUGGGGAAUAUUGCACAAUGGGCGGAAGCCUGAUGCAGCGACGCCGCGUGAGGGAUGACGGCCUUCGGGUUGUAAACCUCUUUCAGCACGGAAGAAGCGAGAGUGACGGUACGUGCAGAAGAAGCGCCGGCUAACUACGUG
This 472-nucleotide ribosomal RNA is filed under the name uncultured bacterium. Its description in RNAcentral is "partial 16S ribosomal RNA". It matches the Rfam family "Bacterial small subunit ribosomal RNA", at positions 28 to 507 of the family's 1533-position model. The record is from RNAcentral.